Molecule: long non-coding RNA, 959 nt
Organism: Aethalodelphis obliquidens (Pacific white-sided dolphin)
Lineage: Eukaryota; Metazoa; Chordata; Mammalia; Artiodactyla; Delphinidae
Exons: 4
Source: RefSeq, a predicted model, not a curated record
AGCCAGGCUUUUUAUGGCCAAGAACAGGUUUCUCAUCAGCACCCCUACACAAAAAAAACAAAAUACAGUAAUAAAAAGUGUUAACAACUAUUUAAAAGUUUUCAUUGGCUAGAUAAGCAUGCCAAGUUAAAAAGAAGUUGAAUUUUUAAGUAUAUUUUGAUCCUAUGCUAUGUACCCUAUUAGAGGCUUUUUAAAAAUACCAUGAUGGCUUCUAACCAGAAAGAGUUUACAUCUAGAGUGAUGAAAGCCAUGGGAUGGAAGGGACUUGAAUAUUAUCUGGUCCUGCUCCUAACUGAUGCUCCCCUGAUGAAUGCUUGGCUGGUCUCUUCUAGAACAGCUUUCUAAUUGAGAGAGUCCCUUCUGAAGUCUGUCUCCUGGCGUCUUCUACCCACUUCUACUCAAGUGCCUUUUGUAGUCCCAAAGGAGUGCUUCAACAACAGUAGCCUAAACUGCUUUAGGAUACUCAUUGUGCCAUUAGAAGUCAGCCACCGCCAGUAGACCUUAGAUUUCGUGUAACUCAGUCAAGGACAUUUUGUAGCCAUAAUGGCCCAAGUCACAGGGGAACUACUGGUCAAGAAGCCUGUAAUUCUCCAAGUGAUCUCUGAACCUUAUUUAAUGCAGCAAACCACAGAAGGAGCUGAGCUAAACAGUGUCUGCAAGUUGGGAAGUAAUAACUUUCCUCAUCCCUUCCCAUUCACCACAGGAUGAAUGAAAUGACUGGGUGGAACUUUCCUAACAACCUCUUGUACGCAGAGGACUAGGAAGGAAGCUGGAGGCUUAGAGGCGAAGGUGAACAGGAACGAGUCACAGAAGAGACAGGAAGUGACAACAAGCCUAAUCAGCAGCAGCUGAGGAUGAUGACUGCAUGUUGCUGAACAGACUUGACAGUGGGGAAGGGUAACUACCACCUCAACUUCAGGAUAUGGUUCCUGGAGUCUCCAUUGCACAAUAAAACUGAU